AAAGGAGGUGACCGCAAGAAAAAGAAGAAAAAAGAUAGGUAGGGAAGUGUGCAAAACUGAAAAAUAGAAAAAUAAAUAAAAAAAAGUAGCAGAAAUUCACUACUAAUAUUCGGCAAAGGAAGGAGAACAGUUGAUAGAAAAUUGAGAGGAAACAAAAGCUAAAGCCGAAUUGUAGGAAAAGAAUCAAUUUCGGCACCACUACUGAUCACCUACCUUGAUCCACUCCUCAAGACUCUCUUACAAUCCCUCCACAAACCAUCCACUUCCCACCACACCUUAAAUUCCUUAUUUUCCUCCACCAAUCCCACAACUAUCGAAAUCUCCCUCAUUAUCCUCCAAAAAAUCGGCCACAACCUCUCCACACUUCUCAAAUACUCAGAAUUUUAGUCAAACUACAACAUCCACACGACACAAACAGUGAAAAUAAAUCCCUUAAUCGCAUAGAGAUUUGAACACAAGACCUUUAGCAUAUUUAC
Molecule: long non-coding RNA, 476 nt
Filed under: Gossypium raimondii (Peruvian cotton)
Lineage: Eukaryota; Viridiplantae; Streptophyta; Magnoliopsida; Malvales; Malvaceae
Description: long non-coding RNA (GRAI_LNC001094)
Source: RNAcentral